AGGAAGAGGAGGAGGAGGGUGUGUUAUUGAAUGGUGGCUAAAGCCUCCUCGGGACGGCGCUGAGGUGAAACGGGCUGAACCCGACUGCUGUGCCUCCUCUCCCGGUUGGACCCGGUGCCCUAAGCAGCCGAGGAGGGACCCCGGCCGCCCGGCUCGCAGAUGCGAAUAAGAUAUAGAGUCUUAAACAAAAAUGUGCCUGAUCCAAAAAUAUGCAGGAUAACUUAAGGAAAAAAAGAAAAAGUGGACUCACUGUAUUCCUGGUCAUUUCCAUGUGGGAAUAAACAGAUCAACAUGGAAUAGUAUAGGUACCUUUUUAAUGCUGAAAUGGGCAUGCUAAUUGUGAACUGUGUGGUCAGAAGCUCCUAAAAUAUUCAGUAACUUAUUUACUGGAAUUUAACAAGCUGUGUACUUCAAAGCUUCUUUCACCUCUAAUUAUGUGCAUAAACACUGUGAAUUGUAUUGCCAACUUGAGAUUUGGCACAGUAGCAGCAGUGCUGAAGCAGCCCCCGCCGCGAGGAAAGGUACAAACACGGGCAGGCGACCUGUGAUGGGCCAAGAGACCUCUCUUACCAGGAUUUGCUCACGGUUAUGCUUCUGGCAACUGACAUUUCCAUUUUACUCAAAGCUCCUACCUUUGUGUCAUCAGACAAAGCCCCAUGAGUGGUGGCAGAGCAAACUGUAGCCUUCAUUCUCAAGUUCGAAGAGGAAAAGUUAUUUACAUGCCUAAAUCGCAGAACAUGCUGUUCAAAGGUCACUCUCUGUUACUUAUUGUUUUAAACCACUAAGUUUUUCAAAAAGUCUAUAAGGAAAAAGCACAUAUUUUGGGCAGAAGCAUUUAAUUGGUUGCUUUCUUCUUUUAUUUUCCUUUUCUUAUUGUAUGAUCUGAUUUUUGUACUACCAGAGGAACGUUGAAGAUGGGAUGCUGCUGUCAUUCCUCACCAUGAAUGAUUACUUAAAGGGACCAUCAGAGAUUGCAAGACAAAUCUCUGACCCUCUUUAAGAUUUUUAUGUUCUGAAGAGGAAUGACUUUUAAUUGGUUAGGAUUUUAGAAUUUAUGAUGUAGAGAAAACUAUUGAUUCCUGUAAUGACUGAUCCUUUACUGUUUUUAUCAGACUUUCAACUGAGCAUUUCAUUAACAUUAUUGUUUAUGAAUUUAGGCAAAUAUUUAAUUGUUUAUUGCUGCACUGCCAUUUUCCCCCACCCCAUUUUAGACAUAUUUUCCUGAAUGUGAGCUUGAAUUUAGCAACAAGCAGUCUGAUUUCCAGAAAUGUAUUGUUAUCAGCAAAAGUACUCUCUACCAAGAUAUAUGAAUGGUAAUAUUAAGAGAAAGCACAAAUAGUGCCUUUAUUCAUUCAGAGAUGAAGCACUGAGAAGUCAAGGUUAUACAGCAGAAAUGAAUAAAUGCAGCUUGAAAUAUCUUUGUAUUCCAAACUACAAGAGCAACUCAAACAAUAAGGAUAACAUAUAAACAAACAAACAAACAAACAAGUUGGUUGAUUUCCUUAAAAAUGUUUGGAACUUAAACUUUAAAACUUAUAAACAAAAAGAGGAAAGCUGUCAUUUGACAUGGUGAUUAGGGUAGACUGAAGGACUUGUCUCAGAGGCUGCUUAUGCUGCUAUUGCACAGCAAAACUGUGUGGGUCAUUUAAUUUCUCUUAGUUCUCCCGCUUGUAAGUAACAAGCUGAAGUAAGCAUUACGGCUACUUCAGUCUAGUGUUGUGCAAUAUUCAGACGUUUCACAACACAAUAGAAAAGUGUGUCACAGUGUACUUAAAAGUUGCCUGUUAAACUUCAUGUUUUUGAGAUAGAAGAAAAUUUUGGCUACACCUCUUGAAAGAGCUCAUUUGUUCAGGUGGUGGUGGCAGCUUUAAGCUUCUCUGAGAUACAUUUUCUUAUUGGUUGUUUGUUUUUUAACUGCUUAAUGAGCUAAUUUUUGGUAUCACGUCUGGAAUAUGUAUGUCUCCUAUGACUGACAGGAAGGAUGGUUUCUGCAAAUAAAAAAUUCUCUUUUAGGAGGUCCUGUGAUCAGCGGAAUUCUGUCACCAUCACAAAAACAUACUUAGCAUGGCGUGUAUUUCCCAUUUCAGCUAAUAAACCUAACAUCUUUGUCUGGCCAACAUCUCAAGCCUGUUUGCUAAAUGAUAUUACUGGAAGACUCCUUACCAUUAAAGCAAUUGAGAUUGAGUCAAAUAAUAUGUAAAUGACGUAGCUUUUCCCCAUAAAUAAACAAGUUGAUAUUUUCCAGUACAGUAACACUUACUGGUAAUGAUAAUACCACAGUCUUGAAGAGGUUAUCUAGAAAAGAUAAACAGAGAAAAAUUGGUUGCAUCAUAUUUUCAAGUGGACAUAUACAUAAAUGUCUUCAGAUCAGGACUGUGCUUCUGAAGUUACUCUCCUGAUUAUCUCCACUUACUGUGCUACAUUUCACACAGUGUUCAUGUUGUCUCAUGGGCAGGAACUGGCUUUCUUUUGGAGAGCAAUAAGUUGAGAUAUAUUGUCUGGGUACUCACACCAGUACUCCAUUCUCAAACAGAUAUUAGGUUCAUCAAACCAUAUGAACUGAUCCUGAAGUGAGGACAGCAGGACUUCAACACUAAUUCUAAAGAGCCUGGUCAUUUUCUGUUUGUUACACUAUCUGUUAUUCCUAAACAUAACAUUGGCAAGGCUACAGAAUCCGGCAUCAGUUGGUAACCACCAACUCUGUUGAGUUCACAGAAGAUUUUGCAAGGAAGGAAAGUGCACAGAGAUCUCUGUGUUGAUGGUUGUGGUUUGCUGUUCAGUUCCAAGAUCCAUAGGAAAUGGUCAUGGGCUUUUUCUGAGAUUGAGCAGAGGUAGACACUGCCAAGGUAAAAUUAUUUAGAAAGAAACAAUACUUUCCCCUUGGUUUGUACUUGAGCAACAAGGACAGUGAAGUGCCCAGAAUAUUUUGCACUGUGCUUCUGGCAUAACCUAAAUUUUUCUUCUGCAACAUGGGCAUAUUAGCCACACACAUUGCAGUUAUCGAGGACUAUAGGUACAAUAGUGUAUUUGCUGUAGAUUUUCUCAGAUUCUAUAAAUAAAGAAAGAGAAUAUUUCUUGAAAGAACAAGACAAGACUUGGAUCGCUGUGAAUUUCCUCUCAAUAAUUUUGGUGACUGCACAUUUGGACUACAUGAAAGGAUAUCAGCAGGGUAUUAGUGAAAGUUGUACAAAACCUAUAUAAAACUAAAAGUUAUCUCUACAGAAAAUACUGGAAUCGAUGCCUACUCUCAAAAUAGGCCCAAAAUAGGCUCAAAAUAUAAGAACAUCCAAAUUAGGAAUGCAGAAUUUUACUUUUGAGAUCAUCAGCAAAGUGACACAGAUGUCCUUUACCUGCAUAUUUGCCAGGUUAAGCACCAGCCUACAGCAGAAGUGCAGGUCAUAUCACUGAUAUAUGCUUGUCAGAUGCCAUCGAAGAUAUUGGGUCCUACAGAAAAAAAGGAGAAACUAUUACAUUAUAACUGUAUUAUUAUGAUACAGAAGGAUAUGUUAGGAUUGCUGGUGAGGUAAAGAUUAAAACAGAAAGUAACCCAUGAACAUAACCUUUCAUGUGUUACCUACCUUUAUUUAAAUUCAGCGUGGUUUAAGUUUUUAAGGGGCAUCUUCUGGACUCGUGUUUCAGUGGUGAAAAUGCCUAAUCUGCGUACAGUCUAAUCAUGUUACUAUUUCAAGUUACUUUAAUUGCAGCACUUACGUAAGUUCAGGAAGCAGAAUUUCAUUCCAUCUCAUGAUUACUUAUUUACUUACAUUAAUCAUACAGCCAGAAAACAUGGAAUUAAAAAAAAAAAAGGAACUACUGAAAACUUGAUUGAACAUACUAGAGAAAUUAAUGUUACUAAAUGUUUGUGUUCAUAUGGAGCUUAAAAAUUUCAACACACUUCAAGAAAUAAAUGUAGAAAACAAACAGGGAAAUACAAAUGCUGUGGUUUCCCCAAGAAACUUAGUUUUCCUACUAUUUGAACUAGCUAAUAUAUCAAAUGUAGACAAAUAUAAAAAAUAGCUUUUGAAGCUCUUUACGUUUUAUUAUUUUUUCAAUUCUUGUAUCGUAUAUACUUACUGAGAUAGAAACAGUUUGCUUUCAGUCUGCUGUGAAUCUCUGAGACAAGUUAAAAUACUUGUGGGGACUUACUAUAUUAACUUAGGGAUAAAAAAAAUUGUUCCCACUUGGUCAUAUUAGGUUCUUCAGUAAACUAUUUUCAGGCUUGAACAGGUGCAUGACUGACCUGAGGAAGAGGUAUGUUAAACAUUUUAGAAGUUGGUUACUUUCCAAGUCAUUAGUCCUAUUCUUCUGACGUCUCUAAAAUGCCCUAAAGCAACCUACAGAUCAUUACCCUCUAACAGAUGAUUUUUAGAAUUCUAUUCUCCAUCCACAAGUCUACAGAUCGACCUCUAUGUAUGUAGUAUGACUUGUCAUACUACAUGUCUGCUGUCUCAGACAUGGAAGCCAUUUUGUAUUCUUAAUAACUAGGUUGGUCACUAAUAUAUCAAAAUCCAUACUGGCACAAAGUAUCUGGUUACAUUAUGAACAGUGAUUUUGCUGUAUUGUUAUGGAUGUUUAGACUACACAAAACAACAGGUUGUAAUGCUGUGCUUUCAGAACUGCAGUGGUAUGCGAGUGGGCACAUAUGCACAGCAGAUCUCUAGUUAUUGCAGGAAAGGCAGUCUCUGCUUCUGCUAUAUAUUUUCACAACUGAUAGGCUCUUUUUUUUUUUUUUGAGGUUGUCAUAUGGUAUAACACUUUUACUAGUUGACUCCUCCUACUUUUCUUCAAACCACAUCCUGAUUUUUGGCCUCAGAAACCAAACAUAUGCACAGCUUGCAGAACAACACAUGAUAUUGUUUCUGUAUAACAUCAUACCAGCUGGGAUAUAAAUUCCUACAGACAAUUUAUGCGAAUGAAAAAUACCUACAUUAAGACAUUUUCCAUAGCUAUGCAAUACAUACCACAGUAGAGCAUAUGGUCUAGAGUCAGAGAUCCUCGCUUACAAGUAUAACAAAAGCCCCGAGUCAGGCCUCAGAUCUUCAGACAGUGUAAUUUUUAAUAGAUCAUUCUAAUUUCUUUCUAUUUUUUUCAUUCUUUUUCUAUUGUGUUUUGGAUUUCUGGAAUCUAAUGUCAGCUAUUUUGCUGCAUUGUUGAAGAUCCUUAAUCUUUUUGAUUUAUCCAGUGUGGAGCACCAUAAAGCUAUUAUUUAACUAAAAAGCAACAAAUAUUUGGUGAAACUCUAACUCGUAUCAUAAUUUAAAGAUAUACCAAUAGCAAGAACUUACAAUUUGUGGGAAAUACAUUUCAACAUUUAUUUUCACUAUUAGAAAACUGUUCUACAUCUGAUUUGCCAGUUUUCCCCAGAAUUUUUGUGGGUGGAGCUGUUAUUUUAUUCUCCCUUCAUGAUAAAUAAGAUUUGGAUAUAGGUAUUUCUCGCAUGACCUAUAAACUUUAACCAAGUUGCUCCCAAUCCUCUUUUUUGAUAAUCAGUUAAUCACAGAAAAUGAUUUUCUCUCUCUCUCAAGUUCUGCAACUUUUUAUUUCCUUCUACCAUUUCUGUUAAAAUAUGGACAACAGAACUAUGGGAAAUAUUCCAAUGGUUGCAUCAGGAUUCAAAGAUUAUAUUAGCUCUGUUCAUGCAGUUUCACAGUAGGUAGUCAUGUUGAAUUGCUAGUACACUAUGCCCCAUAAAUCCUUGCAGAGUUGAUGCAUUUUGAAGCAAUAUACCAUUUUUUGGGGGGGAGUGAAAUUGUUUUGUAUUGAUGCACAAGCUUGUAUUCAUCACUUCCAAAAUGCUCUUUUUUUUUUUUUUUUUUUUUUUUAUUAUUGUUAUUUUUAAUGGGCCUAACUUGUUAAGAGAUCUCUUCUUCCCUGAGACGAGUGUUAUAUACUACUUACCCGCCUUUCAUCCUUAACAUGGUAAUUUCCAGUGCACCUCCAGAUCACUGCUGAAAAUACUGAGCAGCACAGGGCCUAGAGCUGAUCCCUGGUGACCGCUGAAAAGAGUCAAUAACAAUUUUCAUUUUAAGGUAUAUUCUGAUCGC
Molecule: long non-coding RNA, 6044 nt
Organism: Lagopus muta (rock ptarmigan)
Lineage: Eukaryota; Metazoa; Chordata; Aves; Galliformes; Phasianidae
Exons: 3
Source: RefSeq, a predicted model, not a curated record